Molecule: transfer RNA, 78 nt
Filed under: Acholeplasmataceae bacterium
Lineage: Bacteria; Bacillati; Mycoplasmatota; Mollicutes; Acholeplasmatales; Acholeplasmataceae
Also listed under: 1 other name
Description: tRNA-Pro
Rfam family: tRNA
About the family: Transfer RNA (tRNA) molecules are approximately 80 nucleotides in length.
Source: RNAcentral
CGGGAUGUAGCUCAGCUUGGUUAGAGCGCUUGCUUCGGGAGCAAGAGGUCGUGCGUUCAAAUCGCAUUAUCCCGACCA